Molecule: ribosomal RNA, 424 nt
Filed under: uncultured bacterium
Lineage: Bacteria
Description: bacterial SSU rRNA
Rfam family: Bacterial small subunit ribosomal RNA
Source: RNAcentral
UGAGGAAUAUUGGUCAAUGGACGAGAGUCUGAACCAGCCAAGUAGCGUGAAGGAUGACUGCCCUAUGGGUUGUAAACUUCUUUUAUAUGGGAAUAAAGUGAGCCACGUGUGGCUUUUUGUAUGUACCAUACGAAUAAGGAUCGGCUAACUCCGUGCCAGCAGCCGCGGUAAUACGGAGGAUCCGAGCGUUAUCCGGAUUUAUUGGGUUUAAAGGGAGCGUAGGCGGAUUAUUAAGUCAGUUGUGAAAGUUUGCGGCUCAACCGUAAAAUUGCAGUUGAUAUUGGUAGUCUUGAGUGCAGCAGAGGUAGGCGGAAUUCGUGGUGUAGCGGUGAAAUGCUUAGAUAUCACGAAGAACUCCGAUUGCGAAGGCAGCUUACUGGACUGUAACUGACGCUGAUGCUCGAAAGUGUGGGUAUCAAACAGG